Long non-coding RNA from Camelus dromedarius (Arabian camel), 4827 nucleotides. RefSeq lists it as uncharacterized. The transcript has 2 exons. NCBI's taxonomy places the organism in Eukaryota, Metazoa, Chordata, Mammalia, Artiodactyla, Camelidae. The record is from RefSeq and is a predicted model, not a curated record.
CCCACCCUGAGCCUAAGUCAUCCCCUUUGCCUCUCAGGAAUUUUGCCAGAAUGGGGCACAGCAGCUCAGGUUUGGGGGGAAAGAUCCAAAUCUAGAGAGUCUGGGGGGAAAGGGGCUUGAAUGUUCUGUAGCUCCCACUGGUUCCAGAGUUUCCUAGCAGCCUGGGAAAGCCCCGCCUUCAUUUCUGCCUCACCCCACUUCCCACCUCCCCGCCCUCCCCAGGGCUGGGCAGUGAGGGUAAGCUGAUCUCUAAAACACAAAUACCACCAGCUGCUUCAUCCACGGAAGGCACUGAGAACAGGGGCAUGAGGGAGAAAAUCCUUAAAAUAAACUCUUGGGCAUCCCCCUCACCAGCUGACUGGCUUUCCGGGGCCUUGCGGCCCCUGGGACCAGAGGCUGCCCUGCAGCCACCGAGAAAGUUCCUCCUCCAUCGGGAGAGCAGAACCAGGUGCCGGCAGCAGUGGAGGACCUGGUCUUUCCAUGAUGCUCUCUGGCCCAGACCUGGGCCCCACCUCCCCCGCCAAGACUAAUGGAUGCCAGUGCUGUCGCCGCAGAAGGCCUGAUGGCAGGUGCCUGGGACGGGGCCGGUGCCCUGGGGGGGCAUGUACAGCAACUGUAAAUAACCCUCUUCCCCACCCAGGAACCCAGACUGGAAUCCAGUCUCCCUUCAUGGAGACAAAGGCUUUCCGGAGCCACAGAGCCUCCUUAGCAGGACAGCAGUGAGAGGCCUGAGAGCCUCCUACCCAGACUGCCUUCCUUCGAGCAACUCCAGGGGACCGCUUUGCCUGGCGCUCCUAGCAAACCUCUUAUUUAUUUUAUUUAUUUAUCUUUAUUUAUUUAUUUAUGUAACCUCUCUCUCUUUCUCUCUCUCCCUCGGUUGCCAUUAGCAGUAUUCAACUAUUUAUUUAUUUAUAUGGAGAGCGUGUGCGUAUGUGUGUUUGUGUGGUUGGGGAGGAGGGAGGACUCCCAGAUGAUUUUUGUGCAACUCUCUUUUGUCUUCCUCACGUCUCUAUGGAUGGGAUUUGAGAGGUUGGAUGUGGGUGGGGAUGUUGGCCCUUUUCCUUAAAGGCGAGACCCACAGGGCUCUAACCCCGGGACGUCCUGGAGGUGGACCGGAAGCACUUCAGUUCGUGACUCAGUCCACAUCCAGUGAAGUUCAGGUCUGCAUCCCAGCAUCUGGCGCACCAGCUCCCUGACUGAUGUAUCAAAAACGUGAUGUAUCAAAAACGUGCGAACAGCCAAGAGGCUUAUGUGCUAAGGUGCUGAACGGACACAAUGGAGUCACAGCUCAUGUGGGGCUUGGAGUCUAAAGUUAGCAUCUAAGGCAAAAGUUGCAGAAAGGCCUUUAGGGAGGCACAAGAUGUGCACAUCUUAAUCUCACACUUGUUCCAGGGUAUAUAUCAGUGGGCGAGAUCAUUUGCUUUUUUGAGCAUACCUCAUUGGUUUGAUGCAAGCUACACAUGCUUCUGACUCUCCCUUAGCUAAUUUCUCCCUUCUGAGAUCUCAAGGCUCUUCUGUGGACACACCUGCCUUGUGACCAGGUAUCACCCAUCCUGGGAGAGAGACACACGAACCCAAAGCUGAAGCCUUUUGCCAUGAUCUCGGGAGAGAGUACAUAGCUAUUUUGAAAUGAGAAAAGAAAACAAACAAGAUGAAAGGAGCAGCCAGAGGUUCUCCCCCCACCACCACCACCACCGAGAAGGUCAUUUCGGAACCUGUCUUGGGAACCAGGAUCCUGAAGUCUUCACCAGUCUUGCCUCUCUGACCAACUAGCAGUGUCUUCUGACUGCUGGCUGGCGACGGCUCCUGCCCUUUCCAAAGUCAUGAUUUACUGCCUUGAAACGGCCAGUUUGCCUGGACCAGCUUUGGGUUUGGUGAGACUUUUGCAACAUUCCUGGUUGUUUCCCUGGCAAUGUGACUUUCUCUGCCCUCACCCAAGCAGCCCGAUCGAGGGAGUGCCUGUAGCCUGGGCAGAGUGUGCAAGAGCUUACAUGCCUCCUGGGGGGGGGGGGGGAUCUCUGUCCCUCCCUGUCACUUGGUGUGUUUCUAUAAUUUCCUUUACAUUUCCUUCUUUCCCCCCUCCCCCCAUCCAAAAAUAAAACUCUCGUUGGGGCACUGGUAACCUUGUUUAACCAGAACCCCCGAUCCCUGGCACUACUGUUCCUCCGCCCACUUCCGCCCCAUUACGCUCCUGCUCCCAGGGAGUGAGACAGAUCACCUGAAAACUGCUCAUGGUGAGGACCUGUUUCUAAAACCAGUAUGGAAAAUGGGAGGGAGAUGUGGCUUGAGGUCGAGCAACAUGCAGCCCUUCGAUCUUCCUGGGUGUUCCCCAGGUGAGUGGAGCUGGGAAAGCUGCUCCCCUUUUCUGGACCAAAGUCUCCCCCUUUCAGAAGUGGAGGAGUUUUUGAGAUACAACCCAGAAUGUUAACCCAAGGCCUGGGCAGUUCUUCAAAGACAGAGUGAGUUCACUGAGACUUAAGAGAAAAAAGGAAAACAUCCACAGACAUUUUUAGGAGGUUCUCAAUCUUGAGAGUAACACGGAAAAGCAACAAUGUGAACUCCAGUUGAUUCAGAAAAGCUAAUUCAAGCCCCCACCCAGGAACGUUCUUCUUCAUCCAGGUUUGACUGCACUCCUAGCUCCCUCUCUCCCCUUGUCAGAAGGGAAGUCAGUCUUUCAGAAGCAAAAGAAUAUUAAGAUGUUUGAAAGCCUCGAGGGUCUCAGUCCCAGAGAGCCCCUGUCCCUUCAGGUGUCCAGACCCCUCCUCCUUCCCAAAAGGCUUUGCUUGAACAGGCUAAUGUUUGGGGGGCUCCCAGCGGUUUGAAAGCCCGUUUCUUCUUUUCUCAAGUCCCGCUUUAAUCUUCUCUUCUGCUGUAUUCCUUCCCACGACUAUUCAAAACAGUUGCACGUGCAUGUGUCUCGCCCUCAUUUUUUUUCUUCUCCAGCUGAAUAGAAAAUUUUGUCUGAUUCAAAACAAAACAGGAUUCGUCAAACCACACCCUCUCCUCCAUUGACCAACUGUGUCCAGCUGGGAAAUUACAGUCGAUAACAGCAUCAUCAAGCAAUGUUGUAUUGCAACCUCUUCCUUCCCCCUUCUGCACCCACGAGCCGGCGACCUUGAUGGAGUUGUCAUCUACCCUCUGUGGCUGUUGUUUUGAGUUAAUUUUCUUUCUUUCUUUCUUUCUUUCUUUCUUUCUUUCUUUCUUUCUUUCUUUCUUUCUUUCUUUCUUUUUUUUUUUUGAGAUUUGUUUUGUUUUGUUUUGUUUUGGUGGUAGUGGUUUUGCAUUGUAAAUACCAUGAUGGGGGGGACCCCCUCAUCAGAACGUGGCUUGUUUAAUAAUUUAUUUCCUAUUUAUUGAGUGAAAUUGGGAGAGGAGAGGGACCUCCCCCCCACCUCUUCCCUUCAAUUGCUAUUGGAAAUGGGUCCAUCUCUCCGCUCCGGGUGUGGCUGGCUGCAGUGGGGGCAUUUAUUGCCCACGUAAUGAGGGUUAGAAUCACCCAGCAAAUUGGAAUUGGCAGAAACGGAGGCUUCAGUCAUACAAAUUAAGCUCAAAUGGAACUAAAACACUGGUUAUCUCCGGGAAAACCUCAUUUCGAUGGAAAUUAAUUGAGGAAUAAAAUGCCUGUGCACGAACUAACUUCUAUUAAAAAAUCACAACUCCUUGAAAAAAGAAAAGAGAGAGAGAAAGAGCACGAAAAUUAUAAUUCCUUUCCUCUGGCCAAGAAAAGCUAUGCCUCAUCUUCUAACAAGCUGAGCCAAAGAGACUGGAACAGCAUUCCUUCAUGAUUCUCUUGCCUGUGUGUGUGUGUGUGUGUGUGUGUCUGGGUGAAAUGGAGAGGAUCUUGGGCCUCAGUCUUAUCGUCUGUAAAAUGGGGCUUGACUUACACUGGAGAGGAGGGGGUUCUAACUCUGAUGCUGGGAGUUCCAAACUGUCAGAUGUAGGGUCCUUUGUGUCUUCCACUGACUAUAGGUUGAAGGGUGUCUCCCAAGGAAGAAAAGAAAAAUGUAGGGCAUGGACUUCAUUUGUAGAGCCGGGGGAGUUGCUGAGUGCUACAGUCGGGUGUGGGAGACCUCUGGGUGCUGCCAGCUGGUAGCUCUUGUGGCCUGGGUUAAAGCCGUAUAUAUAAGCUUCUCUCCAAGCCCAGCCAUCCAGUAUCAUCAAAGGAAAGACCAGGAUGGCUUCACUGUGCUCUGGACCACCAUGUAGCGUGUCGGGCCAUAUUUUGUACAAUUGUUCAUACAAGCCAGUGAUGUAGGUCAUAUUGCCAUUUUUCAGAUGAGAAAACUGAGGCCCAGGAAGGGGGAACUGACAUGCUUGGGCUCCCCUGAGCUCUGAUCUGCCCAAAUCUGUACCCCGCGCUCUCCUAGGUGGCUCUUUCUUGCCGGUCCCGGGCUGUGAGGACUUCUCUUUGUGCUGGAUUUUUUUCUCUCCCAGUUCCCAGCUGUUUCCUCAAGCAGUCAUUGGCCAGAGACCUGGUACAAUCUACCACAUGAGCCCAGGAGGCUUGGUGCACGCAGGGGCCAUUUCUCCACUUCGGGGGCUGGAACUCGCACCUGGAAAACCCCAAACCGGGGGACCCACCACCAGCCCAGCUCAGCCUGAGCGGCCGGCCUCUGCCCACACACCCUCAACAGAGGGGGAGAAGCUCCUCUGUCCUCCCACAUCUUGGGACCCUGGCCUCUACCCAGCGACACAGCGGCCACGGCUUGUUUGAUAUCUGGUGUCCACGGCUAAGCAUAACCUUCCCGAGGUUUCCGAUUUUUCAGCCUGUACGAAACAUGUCUCUGUUCCAAUAAAAGGUCCCAUGGUAUGGUGUUCUCAUACGCA